Molecule: ribosomal RNA, 345 nt
Filed under: uncultured bacterium
Lineage: Bacteria
Description: bacterial SSU rRNA
Rfam family: Bacterial small subunit ribosomal RNA
Source: RNAcentral
GACGUGACUUCAGAGUUUGAUCCUGGCUCAGGAUAAACGCUGGCGGCGUGCAUAACACAUUCAAGUCGAACGGACUGAUUCGGAAGCUUGCUUCUGAUGAAAGUUAGUGGCGGACGGGUGAGUAACGCGUGAGCAACCUGCCUAUCAGUGAGGAAUAACGUUUGGAAACGGACGCUAAUACCGCAUGAUGCAUGAGGUUCGCAUGGAUUUCAUGUCAAAGAUUUAUUGCUGAUAGAUGGGCUCGCGUCUGAUUAGCUAGUUGGAGAGGUAACGGCUCCCCAAGGCGACGAUCAGUAGCCGGACUGAGAGGUUGAACGGCCACAUUGGAACUGAGAUACGGUCCAG